CAUGUUUUCACUGUUUCUUUCAUCUUUUCAGGUCAACGUUUUCUAUAUAUAUUAAUACGGUCAAUGAUGAUUGUGAUGACUGGAGUAAUGGUGUAUUUUUACAUUAUGCUCUCGAGAAAUAAAGAAGCUGAUGCAGGACCAGUCUGUGUGGCAGGAUUUGUUCAAGCCUUGUGGGUGCUUGCGUUUUCUGAAGUCCCAGUCUAUUAUCAGAAACUUCGCAUGAGGAAAAUGUUGUUCCUGUAUGGAUCAGCUGGUCUUGUUUUAGUGAACUCGGCUGCACUGAUGACAGAACUGAUAAUGAAAGCAGUUCAUGGUGUACGUCUGCUGGGAGAUUUGCGAAUCAUUGUCUUUCCGUCUGAGUGGCUCUUUACUGUAGCACUGCUGGUUUUGUCUAUUUUUGCACCAUUGAAAGCUGUCAGCACAGAGUCUCAGAAGGCUUCUCAGAUGCCGUCAGAUUAUAAUGGGACUCCUGGUACAAAGUAUACCAGUAUAGAUCUGAACCAGAGGGCAGAAGAAUCCCAUGAAAUGGAAAGUCUGAGAAAAGUAGCUGGGAACAGCGAGGAGCAUCAAGAAGAGGAGAUCAACUAAGUGAACUGCACUUUUUAAAAGAUCUGACUGAACUUUUCUCAUUGGGCAGAGGUUUUCAUGGUAUGAAACAUUUCUGAUGGUAAACUGGCAAACAUGCCAUUUCCUUGUCUGCAUAACGAUUAGCAGCAGAAACUGUUGCACAUUAUCAUGGUUUGGGCUGGAUGUAUUUUUGAUAUCAGCGAUGCUGUGCCAUUGAUAUUGUGGUAUGUUGUUUAUGGUUGACAAACUAUGCUGAAUUCUACUUUGAAGUGAAUCAAGUACUUGAAGUGACCUAAGAAUUAUUCAACCUUGUAUAUUUGUAUGCAUUUAAAUAUUUUCCAUGUAAUAUGUAUGUAAAAUAUUUAUGUAAUGUUUAAGAUAUGUACAUAGGUUUCUCGUCUUUGUUCUUAUUAUAGCUGACUUUUCUUAAAGUGCUUGGAGCACUUACAACAAUAUUUAUUAAAGCAAUCAGCAUUAUUUUGUGCUGUAGUACCAAAACGGGUAUUGAGAAAUAUUAAAUUUCACCGUAACUGUAUUGUGACCUCUCUAUUUCAAGGGUUGGGUGUAUGUUCCUGGCUAGAGUAAGCUCCAAAGUGGAUCCAGAGUUGAAUGUAUAAUAUUAAUAUGGUCUUCUCUUGUUUCUCUUUUUCACUGAUAUUUUUCUAUGAAACAUUUUCUAAUCUACAUUUUCAUUCUCUGUGAGAUGUUUGUUGAUGCACAUUGACUUCUGAGAUGGUGUUACUGUAUAUAUGACAAGAUGAAGGAUAUUCUGCCUCAUUCUUCUGAUAAAUUUGUGAGAUAUGAUCUUAAAUGUAUGUCUUUUCCCAACUGUAGCAGGAUAUUGCUAUACAUAGAUUUAUUUUAAUAGUGUGUUUAGUAUUUUUUUGUACCAAGUUCAAGCACUUGAUUCCGUGUAGUGUUAAAAUAAAUAUUUUAUAAUAAAUUACUCUGCCUGUGCUUCCGCGAAUGUGAUUUCCACCUGACCCGACUCAUUUUGCUUUUUGUCUUUGGUUGCAAUUGUUGUCUUCAUUUCUUGAAGAUGAAAUGUCUGAUGAACAAUGCCAAGCAGAGUGAUUUCUGAAUAAUUCACUGACAUAAUAAAGUGUGUCUAGAGGUUAAUGCACUCAUGUCAUGAUAAUUAUACUGUAUUCUGCCUAAUCUGAGGUGAGCAGGUAAGAAUCAUGUUCAUUCCUAUCUUUAUCUGUGGAUUGACUGAUCACAUAAAUCAUAUAAAUCAGGAACAUAUAAAGCAAAAGAUGGAUUACUAAGUCAUAGGGUUGUGUUCUGACUUUAUAAAUGUAC
This is a long non-coding RNA of Sinocyclocheilus anshuiensis, 1869 nucleotides long. NCBI's taxonomy places the organism in Eukaryota, Metazoa, Chordata, Actinopteri, Cypriniformes, Cyprinidae. The record is from Ensembl.